This 110-nucleotide ribosomal RNA is filed under the name Methylobacterium sp. yr596. RNAcentral describes it as "16S rRNA. Bacterial SSU". It matches the Rfam family "Bacterial small subunit ribosomal RNA", at positions 1 to 116 of the family's 1533-position model. The record is from RNAcentral. Lineage: Bacteria; Pseudomonadati; Pseudomonadota; Alphaproteobacteria; Hyphomicrobiales; Methylobacteriaceae.
UUCAACUUGAGAGUUUGAUCCUGGCUCAGAGCGAACGCUGGCGGCAGGCUUAACACAUGCAAGUCGAGCGGGCAUCCUUGUGGUGUCAGCGGCAGACGGGUGAGUAACGC